GCCGAGGUGGUGGAACUGGCAGACACACCAGCUUGAGGGGCUGGCGCCGUUAAACGCGUAGGAGUUCGAAUCUCCUCCUCGGCA
Molecule: transfer RNA, 84 nt
Filed under: bacterium
Lineage: Bacteria
Also listed under: 1 other name
Description: tRNA-Leu
Rfam family: tRNA
About the family: Transfer RNA (tRNA) molecules are approximately 80 nucleotides in length. Their secondary structure includes four short double-helical elements and three loops (D, anti-codon, and T loops). Further hydrogen bonds mediate the characteristic L-shaped molecular structure. tRNAs have two regions of fundamental functional importance: the anti-codon, which is responsible for specific mRNA codon recognition, and the 3' end, to which the tRNAs corresponding amino acid is attached (by aminoacyl-tRNA synthetases). tRNAs cope with the degeneracy of the genetic code in two manners: having more than one tRNA (with a specific anti-codon) for a particular amino acid; and 'wobble' base-pairing, i.e. permitting non-standard base-pairing at the 3rd anti-codon position.
Source: RNAcentral